CAUUCAACAAUUUAUCAGGAUUCUGAACUGUUUUCAUUUGCAGAAAACUGAAGAAAAGAAGAGGAGAUUGCUGGAGGCAAGACUAAGGAAACGUAAACUCUUGGCUGAAGUCCGAUUUUUGAGAAGAAAACUUGAUACCUCACUUGCAAACCCGUAUCAGCAAGUUAGAUUGAAGGAACCAUCAAGUACAAUUCCAGUGAUCAAACCUCCUACAGAAAAGAAACCCAAAGUAUCUGGAGCUGCACGUACAAGUAACUACACUAUAGAUAACUUGUACGCAAAUGCAUCACAGUAUCAGUUUAAAAAGAUGUUUCAGAAAAAGCCAACCAAAUCUCUUUGUGUUGCACAAUCUUCGGGUUUUAGGAAGGCCCCCCUCAAAACAUGAUGACAAUGGAAGCUACAAAUGCUAGUACGUGAGAAUGAAGUAUUGUUUAAGAAUUGGGAGGAACUGAACAAGUUUCAGUUGGAGCAGUAUUACAUACAAAUGGAGAGACUCAAUAGAGUGCCUAUGAUUGGAGGAGGCUCAAAUGAUAAGUUAGUGAGUUGCAGAGAUCUUGGAAACAACUCAAAGAAGACCGGUAAGCGAAAACUCUCAUGGCGAGACCCACCGACUAGUGUUGAAGGCUUGAAGUCUUGAUGCAAAUUUUGUUUUGCAAGAAUUGACACAGAAUA
Zingiber officinale is the source of this 672-nucleotide long non-coding RNA. RefSeq lists it as uncharacterized. The record is from RefSeq and is a predicted model, not a curated record. The transcript has 3 exons. Lineage: Eukaryota; Viridiplantae; Streptophyta; Magnoliopsida; Zingiberales; Zingiberaceae.